CCUCAGCCUCCCGAGUAGCUGGGAUUACAGGGGAAGCCAGCCACCAUGUCAUAAGGACAAAGCAGCCCUGAGGAGAACCAAUCCCUUGGGGAGGAACUCGGCCCCCAGUCAGCAGCCAAUACCAACUUGCCCAUGUGUGAGUUAGUCACCUUGAAAGUGGAUCUGCUGUCCCAGCCAAGCCUUCAGAUGAGACCACAGCUCUGGCCAACACCUGACUGCAGCCUCAUGAGAGACCCAGAGAACCAUCCUGUUGAGUCUCUCUUGAAUUCUUGGCCCAUAGAAAUUGCUAGUGAUAGUAAAUUAUUCUUGUUUUUUAAACCACUAAGUUUUAGGUUAAUUUAUUACACAGCAGGAAUGAUAACUUAAAUGGUGACUAUUUUGGUCAAAAGAGGCCAGGCUCUGCUACAGUAUCAAAUAAACCACACUUGAUGGCUAAUACAA
Long non-coding RNA from Homo sapiens (human), 441 nucleotides. RefSeq lists it as uncharacterized. NCBI's taxonomy places the organism in Eukaryota, Metazoa, Chordata, Mammalia, Primates, Hominidae. The record is from RefSeq and is a predicted model, not a curated record. The transcript is spliced from 2 exons.